RNAcentral lists this transfer RNA (79 nucleotides) under Planctomycetota bacterium. Its description in RNAcentral is "Planctomycetes bacterium (activated sludge metagenome) tRNA-OTHER". It matches the Rfam family "tRNA". From Rfam's summary of the family: Transfer RNA (tRNA) molecules are approximately 80 nucleotides in length. Their secondary structure includes four short double-helical elements and three loops (D, anti-codon, and T loops). The record is from RNAcentral. Lineage: Bacteria; Pseudomonadati; Planctomycetota.
UCGAAGGUAGUUCAACUGGCAGAACACCGGCUGUUUACAUCGCGCGGCCGGAAUAGAGGUUCAAGUCCUCUCCUUCGAG